UGCCUUCCCAUUUUCCAAAAAAAACUUAGUCUCCAUCUUCCUUUCCCAAAAUAGUCUGCCCUUUCCUCUCACUUCUCCACCUCUCUCCUCCACCUUCACCCAGUCUUCCCUUUCCUCUCACUUCUCCACAUCUCUCCUCCACCAUCACCAAAACCAGAAAGCUCUGACCACCAUAGCUGGCCGUCUCUGCCACCACUGCUAUCCCCUAGCCUACGUGAAUCUCCCGUUUUCAUCAUCCCAAACCCGUGAAUCCAAAAAAUUGAGAAGAGCAGUCCCAAAAUGGUAUAAUAAUCUAUUGUUGAUUUCAAAUCCACCAUUAAUGCCCUGGAAAAGUUAAGAUUUGUAGAUAUACGAGUGCAUGUGUUUAUGCCAUUUGAUUGUUGUGGUCGUUUGGGAAUAUUAUUGGUAAAUAUGGUUGGAUACAAGUUUAUUUGUGUGUACGUGGGUCUGUAAAUAUGAACACUUCAUUUUUGGGUUUAUUACAGGUUUUAAGGAAAAGUGGAUUCAUGAUCAAAAACACUUCAUUUUUGGGUUUAUUACAGGUUUUAAGGAAAAGUGGAUUCAUGAGCAAUUUUGAUCAUGGUUGUGUUUUUUUCGUUACUGAUCCUGAAACCACAUUCAGAUAUAAAAUAAAAUGUUGAACACCAUUAAGUGAUUAGUUUAACUUAAAUAUAAUGUUAAACGCCAGGUGUCCAAAUGCCUCUUUUGUCAUUUUCUCCUUUAACCACAUGUUUAAUUUUUGUAACCAGUAACUAGAAACAUUUUAUUUCAGAACACUUGCUUCUCUUUC
This is a long non-coding RNA of Capsicum annuum, 790 nucleotides long. RefSeq lists it as uncharacterized. The record is from RefSeq and is a predicted model, not a curated record. The transcript has 2 exons. NCBI's taxonomy places the organism in Eukaryota, Viridiplantae, Streptophyta, Magnoliopsida, Solanales, Solanaceae.